UACGGAGUGUGCAAGCGUUACUCGGAAUCACUGGGCAUAAAGGGCGUGUAGGCGGGCUUUCAAGUCGGUUGUGAAAUCCCUCAGCUCAACUGAGGAACUGCAUCCGAUACUGUUUGUCUUGAGGACGAGAGGGGAGAGUGGAACUUCUGGUGGAGCGGUGAAAUGCGUAGAUAUCAGAAGGAACGCCGGUGGCGAAAGCGACGUGCUGGACCUUUUCUGACGCUGAGGCGCGAAAGCUAGGGGAGCAAACGGG
RNAcentral lists this ribosomal RNA (253 nucleotides) under uncultured bacterium. RNAcentral's name for it is "partial 16S ribosomal RNA". It matches the Rfam family "Bacterial small subunit ribosomal RNA", at positions 524 to 776 of the family's 1533-position model. The record is from RNAcentral.